This 422-nucleotide ribosomal RNA is filed under the name uncultured bacterium. RNAcentral describes it as "bacterial SSU rRNA". It matches the Rfam family "Bacterial small subunit ribosomal RNA", at positions 355 to 774 of the family's 1533-position model. The record is from RNAcentral.
UGAGGAAUAUUGGGCAAUGCCCGCAAGGGUGACCCAGCAACGCCGCGUGGAGGAUGAAUGUCGUAAGAUUGUAAACUCCUGUUAGAGGGGAAGAAUAGUACCGGUUGGACCGGUAUAUGACUGUACCCUCAGAGAAAGCCCCGGCUAACUACGUGCCAGCAGCCGCGGUAAUACGUAGGGGGCAAGCGUUGUCCGGAUUUACUGGGUGUAAAGGGUGCGCAGGCGGAUGGGUAAGUCAGGGGUGAAAGUCUGCAGCUUAACUGUAGAAUUGCCUUUGAUACUGCUCAUCUUGAGUGUGGGAGAGGUUGAUGGAAUUCCAGGUGUAGCAGUGAAAUGCGUAGAUAUCUGGAAGAACACCAGUGGCGAAGGCGGUCAACUGGCCCAUAACUGACGCUCAUGCACGAAAGCGUGGGGAGCAAACA